RNAcentral lists this ribosomal RNA (460 nucleotides) under uncultured bacterium. RNAcentral's name for it is "partial 16S ribosomal RNA". It matches the Rfam family "Bacterial small subunit ribosomal RNA", at positions 338 to 795 of the family's 1533-position model. The record is from RNAcentral.
CCUACGGGAGGCAGCAGUGAGGAAUAUUGGUCAAUGGGCGGAAGGCUGAACCAGCCAAGUAGCGUGAGGGAAGACUGCCCUAUGGGUUGUAAACCUCUUUUAUGCGGGGAUAAAGGUGUCCACGUGUGGAUGUUUGCAGGUACCGCAUGAAUAAGGACCGGCUAAUUCCGUGCCAGCAGCCGCGGUAAUACGGAGGGUCCGGGCGUUAUCCGGAUUUAUUGGGUUUAAAGGGAGCGGAGGUCGGUCUUUAAGCAGGUCGUGAAAUUUUGUGGCUCAACCAUGAAAGUGCCGCGGGAACUGGCGACCUUGAGUGCACGGGAGGUAGGCGGAAUUCGUGGUGUAGCGGUGAAAUGCUUAGAUAUCACGAAGAACCCCGAUUGCGAAGGCAGCCUGCCGAAGCGUUACUGACGCUGAUGCUCGAAAGCGCGGGUAUCGAACAGGAUUAGAUACCCUUGUAGUC